RNAcentral lists this ribosomal RNA (479 nucleotides) under uncultured bacterium. RNAcentral describes it as "partial 16S ribosomal RNA". It matches the Rfam family "Bacterial small subunit ribosomal RNA", at positions 28 to 523 of the family's 1533-position model. The record is from RNAcentral.
GACGAACGCUGGCGGCGUGCUUAACACAUGCAAGUCGAACGAUGAACCCGGAGCUUGCUCCGGUGGAUUAGUGGCGAACGGGUGAGUAACACGUGAGUAACCUGCCCUUGACUCUGGGAUAACUGCGGGAAACUGUAGCUAAUACCGGAUACGACCCUCGGCGGCAUCGCCAGGGGGUGGAAAGAAUUUCGGUCAAGGAUGGACUCGCGGCCUAUCAGCUAGUUGGUGAGGUAACGGCUCACCAAGGCGACGAUCAGUAGCUGGUCUGAGAGGAUGAUCAGCCACACUGGAACUGAGACACGGUCCAGACUCCUACGGGAGGCAGCAGUGGGGAAUCUUGCGCAAUGGGGGCAACCCUGACGCAGCCAUACCGCGUGAGUGAUGAAGGUCUUCGGAUUGUAAAGCUCUUUCGGCGGGGACGACGAUGACGGUACCCGCAAAAGAAGUCACGGCUAACUUCGUGCCAGCCGCCGCCGUAA